CAAGAGAAGGCUUUCAUCAUGUGGGGAAUAGGAAUACUAUAGGCCCAAGCAAGAAGAACAGUAUUAUUCUGGUAAGACAGGGCACAUCUUUUGCCUCCCCCUCUUCUGCUGGACCCAGUGCAGGCCACAUGUUGUGCUUGGGAAAGGCCUUUCUGGAAGGGCAAACCACAAGAAUGCAGCCCUGCAUGCUGCCUGCUGAGCCAAUUGGAGCAGCAAUGAUUGGCCCCCAAGUGAAUGUACAGAUUGGAUCUUCUGCAUAACAGCUCAUCUCUAGAAAUAGAUGCUCCUGUCUUUGCCACACAAAAAGCAUGGGGUGAGGCAAGGAUUAACAUAAAGGUUUGGAAUUUCAAAUUCUUAAGUGGAAAACCCAAGCUGGGCUGUGUAUCCCAAUCCUCUUGUUGGUACCUUGUUCCUGCCACAUGUGUUUUGACUGCUUUCCCAAACUGCUAUUUUGCCCUGAAUCUUAGGGCCCAUGAAAGCAAACAGACGGAAUAUAUUAGCCGCAUCUCUUUUCUAAGGCCCUUUGCUGAUUAUAGUUAAAGUUGCUUUGCUUUUUAUUUGGAAGUUUUAACUCUAACAUUUGCAAGGGGAAUGCUUUGUCAUGAUUCCUCAUGUUUGGGGAAUUUGAGACAUAAGUUGUUGGCUGAGUGGAUGAGGUCUCAAAAAGCAUUCUUUAUUGAGUCUUGGCUGCAAAGAUGCUGAUAAGAAAGGAAGGCUGCCGCUCCUUUCCCCCUCCUCACUCUGACAAAACUUUUUAUACAAAUCUCAACACAGGACUGCUGGUCUUCAUCACUGAAUACAUCUGAGGGUGAAUUUUGGCUAUAUGUAGACACUUUAAGGCAUUUGCAAAGCCAUUUAAAGAAAUUCAAGACUGUGAGACUACAAGCCAGUGCAGUUGAGCUCAUCCACAGCAGCAAGGGCCUUUACCAAUUCAAAGUGUCAACUAAGAUUCUGUGACCUGCAAAAUGUACCAGACACAUGACUGUAGGCAGCAUGAUUAUUUUGAUAAAAACUACAUAAGCAGGAAUAACUGAUCUAGUCUGUUAAGAAGUCAGAAGAGUAAUUGUCCUUGUUGAAGGGGCAAAUGGUACCUGGAGAGGAACAUGAGAAGCACUUUGGGGAAACUGGUAAUGCUGAUAAUGUUUGUUGUUUUUUGUUUUUUGUUUUUUUAAAAUCGGUUAUACAGGUGUUUUCAGUUUGUGAGGCUUUAUCCAGCUAUACACUUAUAGUAUAAGUGUAUUGUAUUUACAUUGCAUAUUUCCAUAUGUAUAUUAUUUUUUUUUAAUUUUUAUUGUUGGUUGUUCAAAACAUUACAUAGUUCUUGAUAUAUCAUAUUUCACACUUUGAUUCAAGUGGGUUAUGAACUCCCAUUUUUACCCCGUAUACAGAUUGCAGAAUCACAU
RNAcentral lists this long non-coding RNA (1403 nucleotides) under Marmota monax (woodchuck). Lineage: Eukaryota; Metazoa; Chordata; Mammalia; Rodentia; Sciuridae. The record is from RNAcentral.